UGAAGGAUGUGAAGAGCAUAGAGUAGUAUGU
This 31-nucleotide non-coding RNA is filed under the name Homo sapiens (human). Lineage: Eukaryota; Metazoa; Chordata; Mammalia; Primates; Hominidae. The record is from RNAcentral.